UACGUAGGGGGCAAGCGUUGUUCGGAUUCAUUGGGCGUAAAGGGCGCGUAGGCGGCGGGGUAAGUCGGGUGUGAAAUCUCAGAGCUCAACUCUGAAACUGCACUCGAUACUGCUCUGCUUGAGGACUGGAGAGGAGACUGGAAUUCACGGUGUAGCAGUGAAAUGCGUAGAUAUCGUGAGGAAGACCAGUGGCGAAGGCGGGUCUCUGGACAGUUCCUGACGCUGAGGCACGAAGGUCAGGGGAGCAAACGGG
This 253-nucleotide ribosomal RNA is filed under the name uncultured bacterium. RNAcentral describes it as "partial 16S ribosomal RNA". It matches the Rfam family "Bacterial small subunit ribosomal RNA", at positions 524 to 776 of the family's 1533-position model. The record is from RNAcentral.